AAAGGACCAUCCUGGUAUGAUUCAAGUCUUUUUAGGUCAAAGUGGAGGAACUGACGUGGAUGGACAUGAACUCCCUCGUCUUGUUUAUGUUUCUCGUGAAAAAAGGCCUGGUUUCCAGCAUCACAAAAAGGCUGGUGCUAUGAAUGCCCUGGUAAACAAGGAAACUUCUGUUAUUUGCUAGUUAAUACUCCAGAAUUACAAGUCACAUUUUUUACACAUCUACUCUAAAACAUUAUGCGCACUACAUCAAAUGUUUCAACAAGAAAUUUUGCAGAAUCACAAAACAUUCUUCAAUGUGAACCUUGCAGAUUCGCGUUUCAGGAGUACUUACCAAUGCACCAUUUAUGCUUAACUUGGAUUGUGAUCAUUACCUUAACAACAGCAAGGCUGUCAGAGAGGCCAUGUGCUUCUUGAUGGACCCACAGAUGGGCAAAAAAGUUUGCUUCGUCCAGUUUCCUCAAAGAUUUGACGGAAUAGACAAGCACGAUAGAUAUGCCAACCGAAACACAGUCUUCUUUGAUGUAAGAUUAAGAAAAAUAUGCCACAUAAGGUCACUAAAUAGAUACUAAUUCUUGGAAUUUAUAUGAGAUUAGUUUAUCAUGUACUUAUAUCUACUACUUGGGCAGAUUAAUAUGAAAGGCCUAGAUGGAAUACAAGGUCCAGUAUAUGUUGGCACAGGAUGUGUCUUCAGAAGGCAAGCUUUAUAUGGCUACAAUCCUCCGAAACGUGCCAAGCGUCCAAGAAUGGUGAGCUGCGACUGUUGUCCAUGUUUCGGACGCAAAAAGAAGCUUGACAAAUAUAAAUCUGAAGUCAAUGGAGAUGCAGCCAAUGGUCAAGGUUUACAUAUAUCCACAUUCCAAAUAUUUUCAAGUUUCAACUUUCAAAUAACAAAGGAGACUCUUUAAUAAGAUCCCCAUUGAGAUUAAUUUACCCUUAUUUCUCUUUCUCUUUUCUAUAUCUCCUCAGGAUUUGAAGAUGACAAUGAGCUACUAAUGUCCCAGAUGAACUUUGAAAAGAAAUUUGGUCAAUCUGCAAUUUUUGUGACUUCGACUUUAAUGAUUGAAGGUGGGGUUCCACCUUCGUCGAGCCCAGCAGCCUUGUUGAAGGAAGCUAUCCAUGUGAUCAGCUGUGGCUACGAAGAUAAAACAGAAUGGGGUUUGGAGGUAAUGUUAAUCUUUGUUUCUGUGCUUGCACGAAAGAACUUGGUUGACAAGGGAUAAACAACUAAUAAGAAACCAUAACACUUCUCAGAGUUCGACUAUUACCUUACAGAAGGUCUUUGGAAAACCAACUCUAACACAAAACAACAGUGAUUAUAGAAAACAUGCUAGUGCUUUUGAUACAAGCAUAUUUCAAUUGUGAAACAUGAAGGAUAUAAAUGCGUAAAACUUUCUGGAUCUAUAGAUAGCAUGAGAUACAUAACAAUCAUAAUCUAUUCUAAUGUAAUCACCUUUCUGAAUAUCUUUGAUUGAGGUAACUAUUUUUGAACUUGCAGCUGGGCUGGAUAUACGGCUCUAUCACGGAGGAUAUCUUAACAGGUUUCAAGAUGCACUGCCGUGGUUGGAGGUCAGUCUAUUGUAUGCCUAAAUUAGCUGCAUU
Molecule: long non-coding RNA, 1599 nt
Filed under: Capsicum annuum
Lineage: Eukaryota; Viridiplantae; Streptophyta; Magnoliopsida; Solanales; Solanaceae
Description: long non-coding RNA (CANN_LNC010781)
Source: RNAcentral